CCGGCCUAGAGGGAAGGAGAUAGAGAGUAGGCAUUUUCUAGAGAGAGAAAGAAGAAGAAGAAGAAGAAGAAGAAGAAGAAGAAGAGGAAGAAGAAGAGGAAGAAGAAAGAAGAGGGGACUGAAUCUUUCUAUAGGAUUUGAGCAAGGUGGUGACCAUAGUUGGUUCAUGUGUUCUCUCAAGGAAGCGUGAUGAAUACGACACAACAAAGGGGUUGCUAAGGAUAUGAAGACGUAACUCGAGUUACUAAGGAUAUAAAGACGUAACUCAUAGGACGAACGCGCCGAGGUUAUUCAAGGACCAGAGAUCCUGUUUACCUCAAGAUGUAACAUGGACAAGAUAGUGAGUCAUGUUCACAAGUAUAUGAUGAUGAUGCUUAUGAUGAUAAUGUUAUGAUGAUUAUGUAUAUGAUGAUGAUGCUUAUAUUGCUAAUGUUAUGAUGACAAUGUAUAUGAUGA
Molecule: long non-coding RNA, 456 nt
Organism: Humulus lupulus (European hop)
Lineage: Eukaryota; Viridiplantae; Streptophyta; Magnoliopsida; Rosales; Cannabaceae
Exons: 3
Source: RefSeq, a predicted model, not a curated record